CCUGUGACAAAUAAUCAUGUGUAGAACCUAGAUAAAAUAUCUCUAUUUAUUGCAAAUCACAAAAAAUUUUAAAAUUACUCCUAAAAAAAUGAAUACUGGGUUCAAAAGGCUCCCUCUCAAAAAAUAACUGAAAGAAAAACUGAGGGAUGGGUGAAGUUUUCUUCUACUAAAUAAACAAAAUAACAAAAACUAAAAAUAAACAAAAAUAAAUCUUUUUGUAUUUUUAAAUUUAGUCAAAAACUUACAAAUAAAUAAAAAUGGAUAUCCUAUAGUGCACUUCACCCUAAACAAUCAAAAAAAUCUUCACGCCACACUUAAAAUCAUACUUUGUCCUAAAAUUUCAAAUCAAAUUAAGAACAAGCAUUAGAAAUACUUCCUGAGCCCAUAAUGUGGUCCGAAGGACCCACACUUAUGCUUUCAUUAUGCUCCUUAGUUUAGAUUUUGGUACUCAG
RNAcentral lists this long non-coding RNA (452 nucleotides) under Capsicum annuum. Its description in RNAcentral is "long non-coding RNA (CANN_LNC005105)". Lineage: Eukaryota; Viridiplantae; Streptophyta; Magnoliopsida; Solanales; Solanaceae. The record is from RNAcentral.